RNAcentral lists this ribosomal RNA (110 nucleotides) under Planctomycetaceae bacterium. The record is from RNAcentral. Lineage: Bacteria; Pseudomonadati; Planctomycetota; Planctomycetia; Planctomycetales; Planctomycetaceae.
UCCGGUGACUAUACUUGCGGGGAAACUCUCGUUCCCAUUCCGAACACGAUCGAUAAGCCCGCAAGGCCGAUGAUAGUGCCUACCAGCGCGAAAGUAGGUCAUCGCCGGAA